RNAcentral lists this transfer RNA (85 nucleotides) under Bacteroidetes bacterium SW_7_64_58. RNAcentral's name for it is "tRNA-Leu". It matches the Rfam family "tRNA". Rfam says of the family: Transfer RNA (tRNA) molecules are approximately 80 nucleotides in length. Their secondary structure includes four short double-helical elements and three loops (D, anti-codon, and T loops). The record is from RNAcentral. Lineage: Bacteria; Pseudomonadati; Bacteroidota.
GCCCGCGUGGCGGAACUUGGCAGACGCGACGGAUUCAAAAUCCGUUGUCCGAGAGGACGUGAGGGUUCGAGUCCCUCCGCGGGCA